GAUGAAGAACGUAGCGAAAUGCGAUAAGUAAUGUGAAUUGCAGAAUUCAGUGAAUCAUCGAAUCUUUGAACGCACCUUGCGCCCUUUGGCUAUUCUGAAGGGCAUGCCUGUUUGAGUAUCGUGAACACCUCAACUCUCAUGGUCUGCCAUGAUGAGCUUGGACUUUGGGGGUCUUGCUGGCCUACUGUCAGCUCCUCUCAAAUGAAUCAGCUUACCAGUGUUUGGUGGCACCUCAGGUGUGAUAACUAUCUACGCUUGUGGUUUUCUGCCAGGUAACCUCCAGUGAUGGAGGUUCGCUGGAGCUCACAAAUGUCUCUCCUCAGCGAGGACAGCUUUUUGAACGUUUGAUCUCAAAUCAGGUAGGACUACCCGCUGAACUUAAGCAUAUCAAUAAGCGGAGGA
Molecule: unclassified non-coding RNA, 402 nt
Filed under: soil metagenome
Description: partial contains 5.8S ribosomal RNA, internal transcribed spacer 2, and large subunit ribosomal RNA
Rfam family: 5.8S ribosomal RNA (bases 1-121)
Source: RNAcentral